Molecule: long non-coding RNA, 2219 nt
Organism: Homo sapiens (human)
Lineage: Eukaryota; Metazoa; Chordata; Mammalia; Primates; Hominidae
Product: long intergenic non-protein coding RNA 326
Source: Ensembl
GAGCAAACAUAGAGUAUCUGGGACCACAGUAGUUCGCUCUAUAGGUGUGCCAAUCGGUAAUGAUCCAUGGCUGCAUACCCUGCUCUGUAAUACCCCAGCCGUCAGCCAACCAGAAAGCCCCAGAGACUUCUCCGGCCAUCUGAAAACACUGCCAUUAGAGAAGGUUCUGCCUGGCUGUUUUCUUCUCUUCCCGGGAAAUAUGGCCAGAUUAUUGCUGACCUAUCUGGAGGCAACAGGAACAUGGUAAUCUGUUCUUAUUCUAAUGGAUCUUCCAUAACGUUUCCCACAAAGAAUUACUAACCAUUCAUGACCUUCAUCAAAUAACGACUCUGUGGCUACUGAACUCUGCUUUCAACUGGGAGGUGGUUCACAGAUAAGGCUUCCAUUGGAAACAUCACAUAAUGGAUUUUCUCCCCAAGUAUGUUGCCUAUCACUAGGCCUGUCAAAGGUGGAUGCACAUAGACCAAAUCCAGUGGAGUGACUUUUUCCUUUGUAAUUUACCUUCUGUGGAAGGUAGGUAGGAUGUCCUCCAAUGAUGCCCACAUCCUAAUUCAUGGAACCUAUGACUAUGUUAUGUUACACAACAAAAUGGACUUUGUGAUGUAAUUAAGAAGAGAGACAAUCCUAAUCACACAAGACCUUAAAAGCUGAGAACUUCCUCCUGCUGGGGACAGGACAGAUGAGGCAGAAGGGGAGGUUAGGGAGGUUUGAAGAGUGAGAAGAACUUCUGCAGUGGCUGACUUGGAAGAUGAAGGAGGUUAUGAACCAGGGAAUGGGGGCAGCCUCUAGAGGCUGAGAACCUGCUGACACCUACCCACAACCGCUAAGGAAAUGAAGACUUUAAUUCCACAACUGCAUGCAACUAAACUCAGCCAACAACCUGAAUAAGUCGGAAAAAGGCUUCUCCAGAGCCUCCAGAUAAGAGGCCAGGCUGGCGACACCUUGAUUUUGACCUUGUGAGACCUAGAGCAGAGAAACUAGCCAAGAUCACUCAGACUUCUGAUCUACAGAACUGUGAGACCGUAAAUUUAUGUUGUAUUAAGCCACUAAUUGCGUGGGAAUUUGUUACAGGAGCAAUAGAAAAUGAAUACACCUUCUGAUGUAGUUUAAUCAGUUGACAUUAGACGCAAGGUCAAAAAUUUACAUCAGGUAUCUGAAUGUGUAGCAUAUACAACUGAGUGUUGAAAGAAGACAAAAUCGUUUUCAUCACGAAGAAUAUGUGCUCAGUAAGAAUCAGAAUGUUCAAUUGUGUGAAGGUGGGAGAUGGGAAGAUUGGUAUUAUGGCCUGGAUCCAGAAAUCAGUCUUCCACUAUAGGAAAUGGGAAUUUAAAGAUGAUCAGAAGACAGUUGGGAGCAGAGUGAGAAUAAGAACCCUCAACUGCUGUCUCACCUUUCAGAUCACGAAGAAGUUUUUUACAAUGAGCAGAACACUCAACCUGAAAGCAGAAUGGAUUGAGUCACUGCAGCGUGGCAGUGGAAUGGUGUUUGAUGUUGGCAAAGGAAACAUGUACUUCUAGACUGGACAGUUUUCCCUUAGUUUACAGUUUCCAAAUAGAGACAUCACUUUGAAAUAACAUGGAGAACAUACAUGGAUGUACUGAACGAAGAAUAAAGUCUGUGUUGCAGUCCUGUCUCCAUUGACUUUUACAAAUAUGGCUUUGGAUGAAUCACCUAAGUUUUAUUUUUGAGAAUUUACGCUUACCAUGUAUAAAAUGAUAUUGCUAAUAUGUUUGCUGCCUACCCCAUUGGGUUUUGUGAGGAAUAAAUGAUAAUGCUAAGAAAAAGGCAUUGAGAAUUAUAACUCAUUAUUCAAAUGCAAGUUAUUUAUGUGGUUAUUGUCAUUAUUAUUAAUACUUUCACUCAGCUAAAACCUUAGAACCAAAAACAUCUGAGAACUUGCUUACUAUUAAUAACUGUCUUAUUUGAUUCAGGGACUCAAGAAAGUAUCAGCUCACAUGACUGAGUUUCAUCAAUUCCAAGUUGUACAUUGAGAAUCACGAUAAAGAUCGGGAAUAUGAGACUUUAAGCAUAAUUCUUUUUCAUCACCAUCUGGCUAUUUCUACUUCUCCAGUCCUAACUUCUAACCUGAUCUUAGUCACCAGGGCUAAAUUGCAAAGUAGAAAAUUUCAAGGAAGGUUUCUUUGGGUUCCAUACUCUGCUUUUAUGCCUUCUACAUAAAGAAAGGGAAACAGAAAAAAAAAAAAAAAAAAAAAAAAAAG